This 827-nucleotide long non-coding RNA is filed under the name Fragaria vesca (wild strawberry). Its description in RNAcentral is "long non-coding RNA (FVES_LNC001632)". Lineage: Eukaryota; Viridiplantae; Streptophyta; Magnoliopsida; Rosales; Rosaceae. The record is from RNAcentral.
AGCAUUUUAGGAUUUGAAUUUGCAUAUUGACAAUUAUGUCACAUUGUGUAACUAUUUUGAUUUUUUUUUUUCAUUUUACAGAAUUGAAUAGCAGUAAGUCGUUACACUGUAAAUGUUUCAGACUAUUGAUUUGGGGAACAGUUAGGUCCUACAUACAACUGUUUUAGAUUCAGGUAUAUCAGUAAUUUUUCAUUGCAAGCUUCAGCUGAUUUAUCAAUGUUUUGAUAUAUUUUAUAUAUCUAUGAUAAUAGUGCUACAUGUAUUAAACACCAAGUUCUUAUUCAGUAAAAUGUAUAUGAAAUUGGUCAUUCAUCAAGAUUUUUUUCAAGAUAAAGUAGACUGUAUUUCUUUUCUCAAAAUUGAAGUAUAUGGUAAUUAUAUUUGUAUACUAGAUUUGAGUAAACCAUCAACUUAGUUUCCAUCCUUUUUUACUUUUGUUUAAUUUUGUUUCAUUCUUCUUUCGUCGAUUCAGAUUGUGUAAAAUGAUAAUUCAACAUCACUGAAAUGAUUGUUUUUAGUCGAUUCUAAGAACAUAGAUGCCUUUUUCUGUGAAAGAUGGAAAAUGAUUUGGAAUUUCGGUGGUACAUGGAUUUAAGAUUAUGAUAUUGGGUCUUUUAUCAAGAAGAAGAAAGAAGCAUCUACCAUUAUCAGCAGCUAAAACUUGGACAAAUAUUCCUUGUUUUCUGGAUAUGUUGGGGGUGCUAUUAUUUUGUGGGAGUAUUAUGUUUUGAAAGAGAGCUAGAAAGCAUUUUUUUUUUAUCUUUUAUUUUAAGAGUUUUGACUAUAAGUUUCUUUUAUGUUGACCACGAUAAUAAAACCAACAGUAU